GUUGGUGAACCAGCGGAGGGAUCAUUACAGAGUUGCAAAACUCCCAACCCUUUGUGAACGAACCUACCAGUUGCUUCGGCGGCAGACUCCUCUGGGGCCUAGCCUUUGCGGGUACCCCGCCGGAGUCCUACAAACUCUUGAUUUUUUGGCAUCUCUGAGUAGCUUAUAAAUAAGUUAAAACUUUCAACAACGGAUCUCUUGGUUCUG
RNAcentral lists this unclassified non-coding RNA (207 nucleotides) under rhizosphere metagenome. Its description in RNAcentral is "partial ribosomal RNA internal transcribed spacer region". The record is from RNAcentral.